RNAcentral lists this long non-coding RNA (2228 nucleotides) under Vitis vinifera (wine grape). RNAcentral describes it as "long non-coding RNA (VVIN_LNC002689)". The record is from RNAcentral. Lineage: Eukaryota; Viridiplantae; Streptophyta; Magnoliopsida; Vitales; Vitaceae.
UAUAAUUUACAAGGAAACUCUGAAGAAGACCAAAAUGCUUCUAACUGUGGCUCACUUUUAGAGUAGUCACCCUUUUCUCCUCCAAGCAAAUCUUCAGAGCCAAACAGGAAGACAUUAUUUUCUUAUGUCCGCAAUUCUCCUUCUCAUCCUUUCUCUCCUGAUCCAGUACUUUCAUUUCUAAACCUGCUUCAAUUUAAUGCCAAUGAUUAGCAAUUUCAAGCUUCCUGUUUAUUCCCAUAAACACUAAAUAUUUCCAAUUAAAAUUACAUGAGAUAAAUGUAGAUGAAAUUUACACCAAACUAAUUGGGCACAAAUUAAAUUUUUAAUUCAUUUGUUGCAAGAAUAUACAUUGAUCAACGAAAUAAGAAUUGUUUCAGAUACUAAUCAAAAGAAUGAGAAAGGAAAAGUUGGGUGGAGUGGGCUAAGACAAGAAAAAUCUUCAAAAAGAAAAUUUAGGAAUUCAAGCAGAAAGCAAAAGGUCAUGAGUUUGAUAAAAUCAAGAUAGCUAAUAGAAUUUUUAAUAGAAUGUGAAAUAGUCAUGAACUUACAACUAACACAAAGAGCAAGAGAGAUUUUGAGAGAGUGGAUCCUAAAUUAAUCUCAUGAUAUCAGUUUCUAUGAGCCCCAAGCCUAUAGAGCUUAUAAAGCCUUAUUACAAAAGUCUCCAGCCACAUAGAAAGACAAUAGGACCAAAAGUAGCAUUAACUGCGCAUGCAUCAUGUAACCAGGUCAAGGUAUACAAAACGAAAAGGAAAAAUGUAAAAAAUGGAAUAACCUAGAAUGUUCCAGAGGAACACAACACCUUAUGCAUAUACAUCUUGCCCAGUGUUUGUGAGCCACAGAACAAUAGUUACAUUUGAGGCUUUUUUAGAGGUCUGGACUCAUCAAAUAGAACGGAGGUCUUGCAUUGUCCAACUAGUGCACCAUAUGGCCCACAACCCACUAAAACUGAAGCUGAUGGACUACAUAGAUGUUUGAGAAUUUGAAAGUAUAUAUAUUGAUGUAUUGGAACACUUUCGAAUCUCAUGACCAAAAAUAUAUCCCAGAGUUGAGGAAUUAUUCAAGGUUGACUAAAUCAAUCCAUUGAGAGACAAAUUAAUUUGAAGGGAUGAGAAAGGAGAAUGUUAUUACAAUCAAUAUUGUAUACAGGAAAAAACAAUCAAGAAGACAUCGAUUUCUCUAUUACCAACACACAACAUUUGCAUGUUAGGACAGAUUACAAAAUAAUAUUUUUAGAUCUUGAUCAAAAAUCAAAGUUAGCUUGUGGCUUCCGCACAUUACUUAAUGAAAAGACUAACAAUAUCAUAUGCUGCAUUUAUUCAAUUAAUACACAAUCAAGACAGAUUAGGGAAUCUAAAAUGGAGCUUAGAGUUCAUCGAUUGAGAUCUUAUCAAACUCAACCAAUCACAUGAAAUGAUCUUGAUCUUUCACAAGGAAAAAGCAAAAUCACAACCAUGAAAGAAAAACAAAUUAACCAAAAAAAUCUGCAAGUAAACAAUGAACAAUGAAAUCACAAGCAUGCCAAUUGCCAACAAGCCCAUUCUUCUGUAAAUUCUUUUUUCUCUUUCGUACGAAACCAAUAAAACAUGAAAAACUCCAAAAAUAAAAAGUUUGAUUUCUGUUUGUGGCUCAAGAACAUGAAUAGAAUCCAAAAAAAUAAAAGAUAAAAGGUGGGAAUUUCUGUUAAAAUUGCUCAACAACACAAAAGCCAAAGAACUGGGAAUUAGCAAACUUGGUAUAAUCAAAAGUAUACACAAAGCAGAAUAGAACCUGUGAAAGGGAAAAUUACUUUUGCAAAUGGGUAUGAACAGAAUCAAGGGAAACGGAACAUAGAAGAACCCAAACAAAUGGGAGUUAUUAAGUAGCUGAACGACCUACAUUUCAACACAUCUCCCAAGUUCUCAAUCAAUCUGAAGAAAUAACAACAACCCACAUAGAUACUGCAAUCAAUCUUGAAUCAAAGAAAAAGAAAAUCAAAUCCAACAACAAAAACAAACCAUUAGCAAAGAAAAAGCUACCUAUCAGUAGAGUUUUCACCAGAAGAAACCGUCAUUGUAUCACAGGUAGUUAAGAAAAAUUUCCACUAUUUUCUAUCCAAAAAUUGAAUUUCAAGAGGUGGGUGUUGGAGAGAAAAUCAGAGAGAAGAAGGCGAUGGCGGAUGUGAAUAAAAAUAAGGGAGAAUUCACUCUGGUGACAUGGCAUUUCAAGUUUACCAGCCGUGAAACCCA